GAGUAUGGCAGAUAUCUAUCGAUGUCUAACUUGCAUUCUAGUUUCACAGCUUUAAACUUCGCAGAAAACAUGUAUGGCAUUGUCUAAUAAUCUAGGCUUUGUUAGAAAUAUAAUCACCAUGAUUGCCAUGCAUUCGUUAUCAAAAGACUUUUAGUUUUUACAGGGACAUAAAGAAAACAAAACGAAUGUGUUUGUAAACAGUAAAAAAAUAUCAAGAAUGAUAUCGUUUUCCCGACAUUAUCAUUUUCAGAUUCAAACGAAAGUGUUGCGGGGACUCACAACUGCCAUCAGAAUGCGCAUUGUAACAAUAUUGAUGGUUCUUUUAAUUGUUCAUGCAAAAUUGGUUACUUGGGAAAUGGAACAAACUGUCAAGAUUUAAAUGAAUGUGUUGCGGGGACUCACAACUGCCAUCAGAAUGCUCAUUGUAACAAUAUUGAUGGUUCUUUUAAUUGUUCAUGCAAAAUUGGAUGCAGGGGAAAUGGAACAGAUUGUCAAGAUAUUGACGUAUGCAUUAAAAAAUCUCAUAAUUGCCAUCAUAACGCCCACUGUAAUAAUACUGAUAGUUCUUUCAAUUGUUCAUGCAAAAAUGGUUUCGGGGGAAAUGGAACAGGCUGUCAAGAUCGCGAUAAAAUGGAAAAUGGCGGAAACGAAUGGCAGGAUUUAUACACCAUUUUAAUCGUGUUGAUAGUCUUUGGAGUUUUUCUUGUGGUUAUUAUAGUGAUUUU
This is a long non-coding RNA of Dendronephthya gigantea, 725 nucleotides long. RefSeq lists it as uncharacterized. The transcript is spliced from 4 exons. Lineage: Eukaryota; Metazoa; Cnidaria; Anthozoa; Malacalcyonacea; Nephtheidae. The record is from RefSeq and is a predicted model, not a curated record.